GAUUAAGUUAUUAAGGGCGCACGGUGGAUGCCUUGGCACUAGAAGCCGAUGAAGGACGUUACUAACGACGAUAUGCUUUGGGGAGCUGUAAGUAAGCUUUGAUCCAGAGAUUUCCGAAUGGGGAAACCCAGCAUGAGUUAUGUCAUGUUAUCGAUAUGUGAAUACAUAGCAUAUCAGAAGGCACACCCGGAGAACUGAAACAUCUUAGUACCCGGAGGAAGAGAAAGAAAAUUCGAUUCCCUUAGUAGCGGCGAGCGAAACGGGAAGAGCCCAAACCAACAAGCUUGCUUGUUGGGGUUGUAGGACACUCUAUACGGAGUUACAAAGGACGACAUUAGACGAAUCAUCUGGAAAGAUGAAUCAAAGAAGGUAAUAAUCCUGUAGUCGAAAAUGUUGUCUCUCUUGAGUGGAUCCUGAGUACGACGGAGCACGUGAAAUUCCGUCGGAAUCUGGGAGGACCAUCUCCUAAGGCUAAAUACUCUCUAGUGACCGAUAGUGAACCAGUACCGUGAGGGAAAGGUGAAAAGCACCCCGGAAGGGGAGUGAAAUAGAACCUGAAACCGUGUGCUUACAAGUAGUCAGAGCCCGUUAAUGGGUGAUGGCGUGCCUUUUGUAGAAUGAACCGGCGAGUUACGAUUUGAUGCAAGGUUAAGCAGUAAAUGUGGAGCCGUAGCGAAAGCGAGUCUGAAUAGGGCGUUUAGUAUUUGGUCGUAGACCCGAAACCAGGUGAUCUACCCUUGGUCAGGUUGAAGUUCAGGUAACACUGAAUGGAGGACCGAACCGACUUACGUUGAAAAGUGAGCGGAUGAACUGAGGGUAGCGGAGAAAUUCCAAUCGAACCUGGAGAUAGCUGGUUCUCUCCGAAAUAGCUUUAGGGCUAGCCUCAAGUGAUGAUUAUUGGAGGUAGAGCACUGUUUGGACGAGGGGCCCCUCUCGGGUUACCGAAUUCAGACAAACUCCGAAUGCCAAUUAAUUUAACUUGGGAGUCAGAACAUGGGUGAUAAGGUCCGUGUUCGAAAGGGAAACAGCCCAGACCACCAGCUAAGGUCCCAAAAUAUAUGUUAAGUGGAAAAGGAUGUGGCGUUGCCCAGACAACUAGGAUGUUGGCUUAGAAGCAGCCAUCAUUUAAAGAGUGCGUAAUAGCUCACUAGUCGAGUGACACUGCGCCGAAAAUGUACCGGGGCUAAACAUAUUACCGAAGCUGUGGAUUGUCCUUUGGACAAUGGUAGGAGAGCGUUCUAAGGGCGUUGAAGCAUGAUCGUAAGGACAUGUGGAGCGCUUAGAAGUGAGAAUGCUGGUGUGAGUAGCGAAAGACGGGUGAGAAUCCCGUCCACCGAUUGACUAAGGUUUCCAGAGGAAGGCUCGUCCGCUCUGGGUUAGUCGGGUCCUAAGCUGAGGCCGACAGGCGUAGGCGAUGGAUAACAGGUUGAUAUUCCUGUACCACCUAUAAUCGUUUUAAUCGAUGGGGGGACGCAGUAGGAUAGGCGAAGCGUGCGAUUGGAUUGCACGUCUAAGCAGUAAGGCUGAGUAUUAGGCAAAUCCGGUACUCGUUAAGGCUGAGCUGUGAUGGGGAGAAGACAUUGUGUCUUCGAGUCGUUGAUUUCACACUGCCGAGAAAAGCCUCUAGAUAGAAAAUAGGUGCCCGUACCGCAAACCGACACAGGUAGUCAAGAUGAGAAUUCUAAGGUGAGCGAGCGAACUCUCGUUAAGGAACUCGGCAAAAUGACCCCGUAACUUCGGGAGAAGGGGUGCUCUUUAGGGUUAACGCCCAGAAGAGCCGCAGUGAAUAGGCCCAAGCGACUGUUUAUCAAAAACACAGGUCUCUGCUAAACCGUAAGGUGAUGUAUAGGGGCUGACGCCUGCCCGGUGCUGGAAGGUUAAGAGGAGUGGUUAGCUUCUGCGAAGCUACGAAUCGAAGCCCCAGUAAACGGCGGCCGUAACUAUAACGGUCCUAAGGUAGCGAAAUUCCUUGUCGGGUAAGUUCCGACCCGCACGAAAGGCGUAACGAUUUGGGCACUGUCUCAACGAGAGACUCGGUGAAAUCAUAGUACCUGUGAAGAUGCAGGUUACCCGCGACAGGACGGAAAGACCCCGUGGAGCUUUACUGUAGCCUGAUAUUGAAAUUCGGCACAGCUUGUACAGGAUAGGUAGGAGCCUUUGAAACGUGAGCGCUAGCUUACGUGGAGGCGCUGGUGGGAUACUACCCUAGCUGUGUUGGCUUUCUAACCCGCACCACUUAUCGUGGUGGGAGACAGUGUCAGGCGGGCAGUUUGACUGGGGCGGUCGCCUCCUAAAAGGUAACGGAGGCGCUCAAAGGUUCCCUCAGAAUGGUUGGAAAUCAUUCAUAGAGUGUAAAGGCAUAAGGGAGCUUGACUGCGAGACCUACAAGUCGAGCAGGGUCGAAAGACGGACUUAGUGAUCCGGUGGUUCCGCAUGGAAGGGCCAUCGCUCAACGGAUAAAAGCUACCCCGGGGAUAACAGGCUUAUCUCCCCCAAGAGUUCACAUCGACGGGGAGGUUUGGCACCUCGAUGUCGGCUCAUCGCAUCCUGGGGCUGUAGUCGGUCCCAAGGGUUGGGCUGUUCGCCCAUUAAAGCGGUACGCGAGCUGGGUUCAGAACGUCGUGAGACAGUUCGGUCCCUAUCCGUCGUGGGCGUAGGAAAUUUGAGAGGAGCUGUCCUUAGUACGAGAGGACCGGGAUGGACAUACCUCUGGUGUACCAGUUGUCGUGCCAACGGCAUAGCUGGGUAGCUAUGUGUGGACGGGAUAAGUGCUGAAAGCAUCUAAGCAUGAAGCCCCCCUCAAGAUGAGAUUUCCCAACUUCGGUUAUAAGAUCCCUCAAAGAUGAUGAGGUUAAUAGGUUCGAGGUGGAAGCAUGGUGACAUGUGGAGCUGACGAAUACUAAUCGAUCGAAGACUUAAUCAA
Molecule: ribosomal RNA, 2923 nt
Filed under: Staphylococcus aureus
Lineage: Bacteria; Bacillati; Bacillota; Bacilli; Caryophanales; Staphylococcaceae
Description: 23S ribosomal RNA
Rfam family: Bacterial large subunit ribosomal RNA
Source: RNAcentral